Molecule: ribosomal RNA, 407 nt
Filed under: uncultured bacterium
Lineage: Bacteria
Description: partial 16S ribosomal RNA
Rfam family: Bacterial small subunit ribosomal RNA
Source: RNAcentral
AUUGAACGCUGGCGGCAGGCCUAACACAUGCAAGUCGAGCGGAGCGGCGGACGGGUGAGUAAUGCCUAGGAAUCUGCCUGGUAGUGGGGGAUAACGUCCGGAAACGGGCGCUAAUACCGCAUACUAUCAGAUGAGCCUAGGUCGGAUUAGCUAGUUGGUGGGGUAAAGGGCUACCAAGGCGACGAUCCGUAACUGGUCUGAGAGGAUGGUCAGUCACACUGGAAGUGAGACAGGGUCCAUAGGCCUACGGAAGGCAGCAGGGGGGAACAUUGGGCAAUGGGCGAAAGUCUGAUCCAGCCAUGCCGCGUGUGUGAAGAAGGUCGUCGGAUUGUAAAGUACUUUCAGCGGGGAGGCGUUACCCGCAGAAGAAGCACCGGCUAACUCCGUGCCAGCAGCCGCGGUAAUAC